AAGGCAGAGAGGCUUAAGCGGUGGGAUUUGUUAUUUUGUGUGUUUUGCAGUUUAGUCCUUGUUUUUAUCAUAUUCACGAUUAGGUCCUUAGGGUUUACAUAUAGGUCCUCAGAUUCUUUUUUUUUUUUUUUGAACAUAUCUCCCAAAUCUUAAAAAUAAGUUACCUCUGAUUCAUACUCUAUUUCUUUUGUCAAUUUAAAAUAGAUGCUUACAUUAUCACCAGAAAUUUAUAUGAAAAUUCGGAAAUGAGGGGUGUUACAGUUUCGCCCGCGGGAGCAGCGAUGGGAGGCGCCGCUGCCCUGCGGCGCCUAUGCCCAUCAGCUGCCAGCCCCUCCGGUAGCAGGCCUGCUGCAAGCAGGCCGCCGGCUGGCUGUUGCAGACGCAGCCCCUGUGCUGCCUGCCUUCGGCUGCGCUUCACGCACGCAGAUCGAGGGCAGCAACUGUUGCUGCCCUUUCUUGCUUUUGCGUCAACGAUUUUGACGUCAAUAUUCUUCCUAAACACAACACACGCAGUUCAAAACUAAUCAUUCGCACGAACAACCUGGCUCUGAUACCACUGUUGGGAAAUCUUGGGGGCGACAUCACAUGCGCAGCGGAAGAACAAGAAAACAAAAUCCCCGAUUCCCAAAGAG
RNAcentral lists this long non-coding RNA (632 nucleotides) under Musa acuminata (dwarf banana). Its description in RNAcentral is "long non-coding RNA (MACU_LNC006943)". Lineage: Eukaryota; Viridiplantae; Streptophyta; Magnoliopsida; Zingiberales; Musaceae. The record is from RNAcentral.